Molecule: non-coding RNA, 260 nt
Organism: Podarcis lilfordi (Lilford's wall lizard)
Lineage: Eukaryota; Metazoa; Chordata; Lepidosauria; Squamata; Lacertidae
Source: the annotation of a GenBank genome assembly
CUCACUCACUGCAGUGCUGGCUGUGCGAAUCCGAUCCGAGCCGCUGGGUCGCCGCCCACUGUGGAGGGGGUGGGUGCCAGGCGUGCGGUGCGGAGAGAGAGCGAGGGACUAUCUGGGGGAGGGACAGUGCAGCGGCUGCCCAGCGCAGCGCUGAGCGCGGGAGAGAACCACACCAGACCAGACCAGGCAGCAGCAAGAAGAAGCUGGCAGCGGUGGCAGGUUAGGGGUUAGGGGGCGCAAAUUACUUGCCUUGCCCCGGG